UCUUGUGAUGAUGAACACUGAUUAGAUGUCUGAUACAAUCCAUUCUAUUAAACCAUGGAGACAAAAUGAGGCAUUUGUCCGAGAGAA
Molecule: non-coding RNA, 87 nt
Organism: Hordeum vulgare subsp. vulgare (domesticated barley)
Lineage: Eukaryota; Viridiplantae; Streptophyta; Magnoliopsida; Poales; Poaceae
Source: Rfam